Long non-coding RNA from Leptonychotes weddellii (Weddell seal), 179 nucleotides. RefSeq lists it as uncharacterized. The record is from RefSeq and is a predicted model, not a curated record. Lineage: Eukaryota; Metazoa; Chordata; Mammalia; Carnivora; Phocidae.
CUUUCCUCUCUUUGACCCGACGGCCCUCCAGCACGAGAGUCUCAUGCAGAAUAUCUGUCGAAUUCACUCUUCGGCUUGGCCUCAGCACUUUUCUCUUUUGACUGCUAUGGGUCCUCUGGUCCACUUGCCCUCCACGGGAUCCUUUGUGCUUUUUCUCUGCCUGCCUUCUGCCUGUUUGA